This 450-nucleotide ribosomal RNA is filed under the name uncultured bacterium. Its description in RNAcentral is "bacterial SSU rRNA". It matches the Rfam family "Bacterial small subunit ribosomal RNA", at positions 354 to 796 of the family's 1533-position model. The record is from RNAcentral.
GUGGGGAAUAUUGGACAAUGGGCGAAAGCCUGAUCUAGCCAUGCCGCGUGUGUGAAGAAGGUCUUCGGAUUGUAAAGCACUUUAAGUUGGGAGGAAGGGCAGUAAGUUAAUACCUUGCUGUUUUGACGUUACCGACAGAAUAAGCACCGGCUAACUUCGUGCCAGCAGCCGCGGUAAUACGAAGGGUGCAAGCGUUAAUCGGAAUUACUGGGCGUAAAGCGCGCGUAGGUGGUUUUGUAAGUUGGAGGUGAAAUCCCCGGGCUCAACCUGGGAACUGCCUCCAAAACUGCAUGACUAGAGUACGGUAGAGGGUAGUGGAAUUUCCUGUGUAGCGGUGAAAUGCGUAGAUAUAGGAAGGAACACCAGUGGCGAAGGCGACUACCUGGACUGAUACUGACACUGAGGUGCGAAAGCGUGGGGAGCAAACAGGAUUAGAUACCCUUGUAGUCC